CUCCAACAUCUCCCCGAGGGCCAGGCAGCAGCAGCUGAGUCUCUUCUCGACUUGAGGAAAACUGUCUAGCACCUCACCAUGGGGCAGGACCGCAACAACCGUUGCCAAAACAACUCCCUGCAUUUAACAUGCGGAGAGUUACUCAAGGAACGGCAGUCCCUCCUCUUCUCCCUCCACCCCCGACAUCAACCCUGAGCCUGCGGCCAACAGAGGAGCCUUCUUCAAUCCCCGCCAUCGGACCAACAUGGCGAGGGGGAAGAAUGAAUGAGUCCAUUCCCUGCUCUGCGGCUGAAGUCCACAUCCUGAACCUGCUGGAGACAAUUAAACAGCAACAAGACCAGCUCGUGGCAAAGGUCAACUACCUCUGCAGCAGGAUGAACAGCACCCCGGGGCCAGACGUUGAGAUGCCUGACAGUAUUAAUCUCCCCUUGGAACACCUGGAGGCAGUGGAGGCAUUUGAGGUGUUUUUAAAAGAACCCUCAAACUACCCAGCUCGACAAAGAGUAAUUGCUUCUUUGGCCACAAUUGGAGGCCAGGAUUUGAAGAGGGUGACUUGGAACAUUCUUGGCCGGCUAUACACAGACGACGUGUCCCACCAAAUCAACUGGAAAGCCUCCUGAGUGGUGAUUGCGGACACCUGCAUGAAGCUGUGGGUGCAGCCUAUAUAAGUGGAUCCUCCCUCCGGCUCUCUCGCUCUACUUCCUGACAGGAUCCCAGCUUUUGUCUAUGUUGUACAUCUUCCUGGUUGUAAAUAAACACCUUUUUUGCAUCAUAUUCAGUAUGGUGUCCGUUUAUGUGUUGUGACCUUGAGCCGGUCGUAACAGCCACGUUGAGCACACUCUUUAUUUCGGAUUCAUUGAUAUAUAUCUAUAUGAUGCUACAACUAACACAGAAAUGAGAGGAGAAAUCGUCACAAGAAGAUCUGUGCUGAACUGAUUUGGUCUGCUUGUCUUGUUCAGCGAUUGGGCGCAAACCCUUCAAAUGCAUUGGCUGAGAGAAAAGAAGGGUGGAGAUUAUUAGCAUACUAGAGAGACGCCGUAUUUUACGCGCGUUGUGAUGUGCACGA
RNAcentral lists this long non-coding RNA (1066 nucleotides) under Gadus morhua (Atlantic cod). RNAcentral describes it as "lncRNA (ENSGMOG00000034577.1)". The record is from RNAcentral. Lineage: Eukaryota; Metazoa; Chordata; Actinopteri; Gadiformes; Gadidae.